CCGAUCGAUGAUGAUGAACUGGCCUCCUACAUCACCGCCGGCCUCGACAUGGAGUAUCAGCCUCUCAUCUCCGCCAACGACGCCCGCACCAAGCCCAUCAGCCUCGACGACCUCUUCGCUCAGAUGAGCAGCUUUGAUC
Triticum aestivum (bread wheat) is the source of this 139-nucleotide non-coding RNA. Lineage: Eukaryota; Viridiplantae; Streptophyta; Magnoliopsida; Poales; Poaceae. The record is from Rfam.